GGACGUUUAGCUCAGCUGGUUAGAGCGCACCGUUCACAUCGGUGAGGUCGCUGGUUCGAUCCCAGCAACGUCCACCA
RNAcentral lists this transfer RNA (77 nucleotides) under Candidatus Uhrbacteria bacterium RIFCSPHIGHO2_01_FULL_63_20. Its description in RNAcentral is "tRNA-Val". It matches the Rfam family "tRNA". From Rfam's summary of the family: Transfer RNA (tRNA) molecules are approximately 80 nucleotides in length. Their secondary structure includes four short double-helical elements and three loops (D, anti-codon, and T loops). RNAcentral also lists the same sequence under 1 other name. The record is from RNAcentral. Lineage: Bacteria; Candidatus Uhriibacteriota.